CAGCAUSUGCGGUAAUUCCAGCUCCAAUAGCGUAUAUGUAAAUUGUUGCGGUUGAAAAGCUCGUAGUUGGACUUCUGGCGUCCGGGUUUGGUCCGCCUCGAGCGAGUACUGGAUCCGGUCGUCGUUUGUGUCGACGAGGUUCGUCGGACUUCACUGGCUGGCGUUCUCCAGUCGACAGGGUUACUUUGAGGAAAUCAGAGUGCUCAAGGCAAGCGCACGCUCGUGACUUCACUAGCAUGGAAUAACACAGAUGGGCUCUUUUUCGCACCGUUGGUCUGCGUCAAUUGAGCAACGAUCGAUAGAGACGGUCGGGGGCAUUCGUAUUGCGCAGUUAGAGGUGAAAUUCUCCGAUCUGCGCAAGACGCACUAAUGCGAAAGCAGUUGCCAAGGACGUCCUCUUAUGAUCAAGAGCGAAAGUCGGGGGAUCAAAGAUGAUUAGAUACCGUCGUAGUCCCGACCAUAAAUGAUGCCGACUGAGCGUCGGCGACUCGGCCAUCGGCCGUACGUCGGCGCUCUUGAGAGAAAUUAAAGUCUUUGGGCUCCGGGGGUAGUAUGGUCGCAAGUCUGAAAC
This 571-nucleotide ribosomal RNA is filed under the name Kraftalia orientalis. RNAcentral's name for it is "SSU rRNA". The record is from RNAcentral. Lineage: Eukaryota; Viridiplantae; Chlorophyta; Ulvophyceae; Bryopsidales; Halimedaceae.